Camelus ferus (Wild Bactrian camel) is the source of this 72-nucleotide transfer RNA. It matches the Rfam family "tRNA". Rfam says of the family: Transfer RNA (tRNA) molecules are approximately 80 nucleotides in length. NCBI's taxonomy places the organism in Eukaryota, Metazoa, Chordata, Mammalia, Artiodactyla, Camelidae. The record is from Rfam.
GAGGGUAUAGCUUCGUGGCAGAGUGCAUGUUCAGCAUACACGAGGUCCUGGGUUCGAUCCUCAGUACCUCCA